Molecule: ribosomal RNA, 433 nt
Filed under: uncultured bacterium
Lineage: Bacteria
Description: partial 16S ribosomal RNA
Rfam family: Bacterial small subunit ribosomal RNA
Source: RNAcentral
AGCGAACGCUGGCGGCAGGCCUAACACAUGCAAGUCGAACGAACUCUUCGGAGUUAGUGGCGGACGGGUGAGUAACACGUGGGAACGUGCCCUUUGGUUCGGAAUAACUCAGGGAAACUUGUGCUAAUACCGAAUGUGCCCUUCGGGGGAAAGAUUUAUUGCCAUUUGAGCGGCCCGCGUCUGAUUAGCUAGUUGGUGAGGUAACGGCUCACCAAGGCGACGAUCAGUAGCUGGUCUGAGAGGAUGACCAGCCACACUGGGACUGAGGCACGGCCCAGACUCCUACGGGAGGCAGCAGUGGGGAAUCUUGCGCAAUGGGCGAAAGCCUGACGCAGCCAUGCCGCGUGAAUGAUGAAGGUCUUAGGAUUGUAAAAUUCUUUCACCGGGGACGAUAAUGACGGUACCCGGAGAAGAAGCCCCGGCUAACUUCGUG